CUGUGGUUACAAUAAACAUUAUUACUCCACACAGUCUGCACUUGGGUCUUACCUUGAUUCCUGAUACUGGCUUGUUGAAAACGAUGUCUAUUUUGUCUGUUCUCUUUUUUUCAGAUAAACAGCUCGAAAAUGAACAUGUAUCAUGGCUCGAGAUUCCAUUGAGGAAGAAAUCAUCAGGAGAUAUGCUGGACCCUAUGUCAGAGAGGUGUUUCUGGGAACUCAUCGUUUCUUUCAAGACAAUGACCCAAAACACACUGCCUCCUGGGUUUGCAUUGCAAAUGAGGGCAUAAACUGGGUCAAGACGCCAGCAAAGUAAGAAGACAUUUAUGUAGUGAAAUAAAUAUAAAUACAUAAAUAAAUAAAUAAUAGACCUACAACACCUUCGGUAGACCUACAGUACACUAGUGAAAAACAAGUCUUCAAAAUGCCUCCAGCUGUCCAUCACUACUGUAAAUAAAAACACAGCAUCUUGUUUACAUUCUUUAUUGUAACCACAAUGUCACAAAUCAUUUGUAUCUACCUUUCCAAUUACUUUUAGAGUUUGGGAUUUACAAAUGUGCACUUUAUGUCAUUUUUAGUAAGUAAUAUGCUUACAGUCCAGUUACAGCUUGUUCUGAUCAAGUAGAAACAAAAAAAGAAGUGUUUUUUUUGGGGUGUGCGUGCAGGACAGAGGAAUAGCAAUUCUUACACUAUUGUUCAGGAGGAACGGAAAAUUGUAUGUCAAUUCAUAAACCAUGUGCCAUCAAAAAUCUCUUCCCCACUAUUUUGCAAUCUAUAUGGCUCUCCUCCAAUAAUUACAUUUAGAGGAUUGGAGGAUU
Salvelinus namaycush (lake trout) is the source of this 818-nucleotide long non-coding RNA. RefSeq lists it as uncharacterized. Lineage: Eukaryota; Metazoa; Chordata; Actinopteri; Salmoniformes; Salmonidae. The record is from RefSeq and is a predicted model, not a curated record. The transcript is spliced from 3 exons.